CAGGAAUUUGGGGGGUGAGGAGUAAUGUCAGUUUAAAGACAAGAAAGUAAUAAAUGUUUUUCUGCUUCUACAUCUCUUGAUAACAGCAAGUCUUAAAUAAAAUAACCCUUGGCUGGGAAAUAGAGGAAAAUGUUUUGCAAGGUGAACUGACUUUUUCUGGUUGCCAUUCAGGAUUCGUUUGACUGACUUUUAUUUUCAGUUCCUAUUUUUUUAACAAAAAAUCAUGGAAUAUAUUCUGCUUGCCAGUUUUGAUAGAACAAUUACAAUAAAAUUUUCCUUAACACCUAAAAUCACAGAUUCUGCUCAGACAUAUGCAGAACUUGUUAAGCAGAGCUUUCAGAGCUUGCAUCGCAGACACAAAGCUUUUACAAAAACUUACAAGAGACACCAGAAGGAAGUGAGAAUUUUUGACCAACAGUGGAAAGAGAACCAAGAAAUUUUCAGGCAGGAAAUGCAAGAAGAAGUCAAGAGAAGACAGGCUCCAAAGCAGAAAGAGUUGAUUCCUUCUUGGGCAGAUGAACUGAGCAGUUCAGAAAAGAUUUCAUGCCAGUCCCCAAAAGUGCAUUUAACAGAAUCUACUGAAUAACAAAUAAGACUGUAUAAGACUGAAGUAACUGUGUCUUUUUUGGUACUGAAUAAGUGCUUGAAAUAAGCAAAAUAUUAUUCCUGUCUAUUUCAUGUAUAAAUAUUUGAAGGAAAUUAACUUAGAGGUUCAAAUACAUUAGUUGCUAGAAAAAAUCAUGUACUAGUGUAUUAAAGUGGUAUGGCAAAAUAUCAAAAAUACUGGUUGGUGUAAGCUUUCCUUCAUUGGCCAUUUCUGCACUCACCUUCUUUGGAACAGUCUAACUAUUCCGGUCAACACUGUACUAGAACAAGAAGGGAGAUGCUGUCUGAAUUUGGAGGUGCCAUAGCUAUUUUGUUCCAGGUAAUGCUCAACCCAGCCAGGGAUUGGCCCAGGCCCUGUCACUUGUACAUCAUGUUUGGAUUACACGUGCAGAGCUGAAUGGGGCUGUCUCCACAGUCUUGCCAAUGUCCUGCUGCUGUCUUCAAAGGCAGCAAGCCCACCUCAGUGCC
This 1074-nucleotide long non-coding RNA is filed under the name Salvator merianae (Argentine black and white tegu). RNAcentral's name for it is "lncRNA (ENSSMRG00000015672.1)". Lineage: Eukaryota; Metazoa; Chordata; Lepidosauria; Squamata; Teiidae. The record is from RNAcentral.